GCUGCACCUGUGCUACGAAAACGAACACCAACGUGAUUAAACCUGAAACCCCUAAACGUCUCACAGUUUAAAAAGCAAAGGAUACUUACCCUGUGGCAACAGGCAUUUGAUGAGAAUGUCACAGAAGUAGCAGAUCCUGGAAUUUACCGAGACAAAGGCAACUAGAGUUUCCAAGAGGCUGAAUACCUGCUUUCAUUGGGCAACUAAGCCACGUGUUCAUUGUCUCUCCUGAUGUUAGCUGCCAAAUACAGCAGCCAAGCAAAGCAGAGGACUCUCUCCUCCUUCCUUCUACCAAGAAGCUUCAGCACCUGAGGUAAGAGUAUCUAAUGAAGAUGGAAACGAUCUACAAUACUUUUCUCACUCAUAAGUAUUUCCUCUAACUUUCAUCUAGGGCAUUCAGCCAUUGCAUCCCUUUCAAAACAUCCUACUAUUAAAUGCACAUUUACCAACCUGUUUUCUGAUUCACUAAGAAGUUGAGAAUUUGUCCAUUAAGCUAUUUGCAUGCUACAAAUACAACUGAGAACAUAAUAACUCAGUGGCAGAAUAUGGACCAGGAGAAUUAUAUGAUAGCUGAACUGGACAAGCCCACUGAAAACAAGAGAAGUUCCUGCAGAGUGACAUUUGUAUUGGGGCUAAAGACAAGGGAAUUGGGUGAAGUCCUGGACUGCCAAGUCUCAUACCUGAGAAGGUGCUGACAAGUAACCUGAAACACGUGCCAGGAGUUAAAGUGAGUGCCAGGCCUCAACAGGGGUACCUGAGGUUUCACUUUGUCAGCAAGUUUCUACAAUUAAAGGAAGGAAGAGAAGCUUUUAACACAAGUAUUGUCACAGCAAUGGAGCUGACAGAGCAGCUGCCAUACUUGGGUCCUCUGGGCACCUGAUUUCAGUCUUGGUGCAAAGGCUGGCCUAAAAAUGACUUUACUGCCUAACUCAAAUGCCUUAGAAAAUGACUGAGUUCAUCACUAUUAAUUUUCUGUGUGGAUGCAGCUGCAGUAUUACAGACAUUCUUACCAAUCCUUCAUACAGCACAUCCCAGCUGAGAUUUAGAUGGUUUAGUUUGUACAGGUUUCAGAAAAAGUACAGUUAAACUAGCAUUAAAUCAAAGCCGAGUGUGGAUCAAGCCUAUGGGUGGCAGCAUCUAGCUUCAGUUUAAGGUAGCCAUUUUCUCCCCAAAUCAGACUGAUUUGUAAGCAAUUGCAUUGGCAACAAUAACAAAGAAUAGAAUCUAUUUUUGGAUGUGGAAGAUGAGGAAUGAAUUAUAUUUUUCUUGUAGAUAUUAAAAUAAUACCUUGUUGUUUCAGUGGUUCUUGGCUUUUACAUUUUACAAAUGGAUUUUUAAAGUAUUUUUGCAUUAAAUUUAACAUUCCUUGAAUAUAAUAAAAAUUACAAAAAACCCCAGAAAAUAUCCACAUGGACCUUUUUCUAAAAAAAACCCAAAAAACCAACAAAGAAACAAACAAAAAACCAACCCCCCCCGCCCCCCCGCCGCCCCCCCCCCCCCCAAACCAAAACCAGAACACCACCCAAGCCCAAAAAACAACCAAAACUCAAAGUCCACAAAAGACACAUUUUCUUUCGUGUGGUCAGAUAAACAUCAGGAGACUACUGGAUUUGUUAAAUACCUUUCGAAUAUCCAGGGAGGAAAAGCUUUUCACUAGGGAAAAAAGCUAAACAUAUGUUGAGGCCAAUGUAUUCUCACUUUCCCAAAGCAACAUGGACUGGUUUGUAUGCUACUGCUAGAAAGCAAAGGAAAUGGGCUGGAGCUCACUCACACUUGAAUAAAUCCUGCCAUCUCUGUCCCUGCCUCUGCAGAGCUAGUGCCAGCAUAGUGAAGACCUUGGGAUGAGCUGUUUUUAGAAAGCUUGGCAAGAGCAAGGCUUAAUUCUGCAUCUGUUCCCAGAAUCACAGGGUCUGGAGCAGUAGUUGUGGAGCAGCAUACAAGGCAAUGAUAGAAUUAGCAAUAUACAAAUAACAGAGGCAAUGGAGGCUGUAAAAAUUAAUGGUGUGACGUUAAACAAUUUGUUAAAUGGCUUAAAGCCUCAUAACAGGUGAAUAUAAAAAUUCCUUUGUGUUUUGCUACAACCUAGAUUGUGUUAGUGGUACCAUUUAUAUAUUUAUUUUUACAAUGCAAGCCAACACACACCAGUGUGCUGUCACCAGAGGCCUUAAGUCUUUUUAACUAGGAAGGAAAGUGUCAAGGGCCUUGGAUUUCACCCUGUAUGGCCCAGGGACUCCACAGUGCGCUGGGCACGAUGUCAACUAUGGAUAUGGAAGAAGAGGUACCUCUGUGCCCAUUCGUUCCUUAGACUCUUUGCAGAGCCUUUUGGAAAACUCCACACAUAGUAUGCAUCGAAGAAACUGCGGUCUGAACUGUUUCUGAACAGCUGGACUGUAAGGAUACCAUGCAGCAGGAGUCAAGACUACUCGGCUACACAGAGAUGACUGAACAGCUUGCAGAUACAUACAACAGCAAGCUGGAAAAAGCUUUAAUUUGGUUUGGAAAAGAAGAAAAGAAAUGCCUCUUUCUUCUCUAACCACUACUUCUCACUGACAUUAAAAAAGAUUGCUGCAGAAGCUGUGUUCAGCUUCCAUAAUUAAUCAGCUAUAAAUGGAUAGAUGCCGCUGACUAGAGGAAAUAUCCAUGCUUUUGUACAAAGCAGAGCUACAAACUUCUUUUGUGAGACAACAGAUGUGCACCAUCGACCUCUAAGCAGAAAACCAAACUGUAAGUGACUGCUAAAAAAACCCCUGUGGCAGAUUACCAAAGAGUUUAAAUACAACACCUAUACGCACAGGGCUGAGCAAGAGAAAAGAAUACCAGAAAAGAUGCACAACCUGACAGCCUUGAUUUUGCCAUGAAGUGUCACAUGUAGUGAAGGUGACACCUUCUUUGAAGUGUUGUUUGCCAAGGUCACAGAGCUCUCCAGAAGUGCUUCUCCAUCAGCAUGGAUGCUCAGCACACACAGGUAAAAUAAGAGAAGGGUGAUUUUUUUUUUUUCUUAUGACAAAGUAUGAAACUUGAAAUUCAUUUGAACAGAUUGUAUUUAACAGCUGGUCAUAGAUAGUUUAUACAGGGCUAAGACAAUACAGCAGCAGUUUCUGUCCUGGACAGGACCUCAGACUGAGAACCGCAAACCAAGCUCUCUUCAUAAGCACUGUAGGAAACAGCACCACAUUCAUAAAAGGUAACACACAGGUUGGCAUGCACAGGAAAAUGAAUGAUAAUUCACAGCUCAGCCCCUCAUGGGUGGUCCUAGAUGCAGAGAUACCUCAGUGAAAUAGAAGUCCUAUGAAAAUAAAACCAAUAACGAAAGCAGUGUGAGUUACAGUGAAUAAAACCCCACAAAAUCUAUCACUAUUGUAAAAUUCUGUCAACACAGAGAAAUGCUUAAAAGGAAUAUUUUUAACAUCUGAUCUUUCCGUUUUCUAAGAAAUCUCUCUUCUAAUGGAUGGCAUGUCAGAUAACAAGCAAUAACUACAGGUACAGUAAAAUCUAAGACAAAUUUUGAACCCAGUUAACAGAAAACAUCAGAUAAUAAUCUAUGGCAUA
Molecule: long non-coding RNA, 3549 nt
Organism: Aquila chrysaetos chrysaetos
Lineage: Eukaryota; Metazoa; Chordata; Aves; Accipitriformes; Accipitridae
Exons: 3
Source: RefSeq, a predicted model, not a curated record